UGUGAUCCCAAGGAAGGAAAUAAAUGGCUCC
This 31-nucleotide non-coding RNA is filed under the name Homo sapiens (human). The record is from RNAcentral. Lineage: Eukaryota; Metazoa; Chordata; Mammalia; Primates; Hominidae.